UAAGACGAACCGUGCGAACGUUAUUCGGAAUCACUGGGCUUAAAGCGCGUGUAGGCGGGCCGGCACGUCGGCCGCUGAAAGCCCCCGGCUCAACCGGGGAAGCGGCGCCGAUACGGCCGGCCUGGAGGGGGGUAGGGGGACCUGGAACUUCCGGUGGAGCGGUGAAAUGCGUUGAGAUCGGAAGGAACGCCCGUGGCGAAAGCGAGGUCCUGGACCCUUUCUGACGCUGAGACGCGAAAGCCAGGGGAGCGAACGGGAUUAGAUACCCCGGUAGUCCUGGCCGUAAACGAUGAGUGCUGGACGGGAGGGGGUUCGCCCUUUCCGGUCGGAGCGAAAGCGGGAAGCACUCCGCCUGGGGAGUAUGGUCGCAAGGCUG
This 376-nucleotide ribosomal RNA is filed under the name uncultured bacterium. RNAcentral describes it as "bacterial SSU rRNA". It matches the Rfam family "Bacterial small subunit ribosomal RNA", at positions 521 to 896 of the family's 1533-position model. The record is from RNAcentral.